AAGGUUCCUUACACUUAUUACAAAUAGCAACACUAUUUUCUUUAUCAAAAGUCAUAAAUUGCCACACAAUAGAAGUUUUAGGUCCUUGAUACUUCACCUUCUCCCUUGUGGGAGGUAUAAGGGGUGGAUGUCCAAAAUUUUGCUCCGAUAAAUUGAUAGUCUCAUUUGGAACUUCUGUCACCGGACUAGUAGGUGUUUCAUCUAACUCCUCUUCUCCCAAAUCAGCUUCUACUUCUUCACCUAAAUUUUCAUCAACAUUAGGAUUAAUAUUACCAUAACGUCGUUCUAAACUUUCGUGAUAAAGUUGAACAUUUGAAUCAAUAUUAUAAGGAGUAUCAUCAACAUAAGUAGAAUCAUUUAUGUUAAAUCUAACUCUACUCGUUGAUUUAGAUGAAGUACCACCACUUUUACUAUUCUUUUUUUCUUUACUAUUUUUUUUUACCAAAAUUAAAUGAUUUAAAAAGUCCACUUUCUUCGUUAUCUUGUCUUUCUCUUUUCCUUUACCGCUAUUUUUUUUGCUAGAACUCAUACUUAAUUAUAUAUUUCUCUUAUAUUAGAAAGAGCUUAAUCAACAUGUCUGUUUCAUCUCCAUACAAUUCUAUUUUGUUUCCACGUGUCUGUGUGAUCAUCCAAGUUUUUAUACGUGGCUUCCAUUCUUGAGCUUUAUCCCUAUAAGCUUUCACGGAGAUCUCUACAGAUGAAGUCCAACUGCAAUCCAGAUAGAACAACCCCUCCAUGUAACACUCUUAAGCUGUGCAAAUCAAAAUUCUCAGAGCUGGCUUUUACAAGGCAUGCAUAAGUGAAGUUAUCAGGCAUUAUUUCAGAAUGAAGCACAUCAUUAAACAGCGAAAAUGCAUUUCUAAAUUUGUGGGCUCUAGCAUAACCUCGAAUUAAGGAGUUCCAGAGGCAAAUGGUUCGGUGAGGAGUUUUAUCAAACAGUUUGUGUGCAGAGAUGACGUCGUUAUUUAGAGCAUUAAGUGUGAAAAUCUAAAGAUCUGCAACUACUUAUGCCAAAAUUUGAACUAUCGAUGUGUCUUCUUAGCAAAUUCAAGGAUCUGGAACUACUUAUACCAGAUUUGAACUACGGGACCUGAGAGAGUUAGCGAACCGAUUAUUAUGGGUGCUUCGUUUGGUAAUGGGGAGGAUGUCAAUCUGCAUCUAGCCAGGGAAGCUGGCCACUCCUAUCGCCAAAUAGUCCGUGCUGCUAAUAUGAGAGUCAGAGAGAUAGAAAAGGCUCUUAUUAGAGGCAAUUAUUGAGUAUCCUACAACACACGUGUUUCAACACCAUUUGCUACAGAUUUGUUGACCACUCAAGUAGAACAAAAAAUGAGAGGGUAUGUGCAGGUUUGGACAAUGCAAUGAGAUGUGUUGUAAGAGUCCUGUUCUGAAGGAUUAACAAUGGCGUGUUUAUAUUGUUCGUGCCCCUGACUCUAUUUGCUAUGUGAGAUUUGGACAGAUUAUAAAGGUUAACUGGGCGUAUGCCGGUGCUUAAACAGAGGACACAUCAAGUGUGUAUCUUUUCUCACCUCAAUUUUAGACCCUCUUAAUUUUUUACAUUAUCUUUUCAAGAACUAAAACUGUUUCUUCUCAUUUGCAGAUCAUUUUAACAUAUUUGUGGGUCAUCUCACUGGCUUCUUAUACGUUCUAUUCUGUAUUUAUUUUGUACUAUACACGUUCUCCUUGCAUUCAUAUUUUUAAAAAUGGAUGAAUGUAGUUGAUGCUACAUUGAUGUUUCUCUUACAGAGAUGCUAGAGUAAUGUGGAAUCAGAAAACAGGCCAAUCUAGGAGAUUUGAAUUUGUUUCCUUUUGUAAUCAGCUGCUAUUAAGCUAGCUAAAUAUUAUCUUCUGAACUUCCGCUAGGAUUGCAAAUAAAAAAUAAAUAAAAACUGACACUAAUCCUUGUAAAGAAAGAGCAUUAUUAAUGUCACAUAAUGGAUAUAAACAUCUCAACUUUAUAUGACAAGUACCCAAUAUUAUACUUUCUAAACAAGAAGAGUGACCUUAAUCCUUAUUACCGUGUGAGAUUUGGGUUAUCUACCACACCUACUUUGUUUCUUGGCUGGAAGUUUUCUAUGGAGUAGUAGAACAUUUUUUAGCGGGGUCAGGUAAAGGGUAAGGAUUAAGUCCAGUAAGGUGCAGAGCAAGAAUGUGGGGUGAGUGAGUAUUUGUCAGUGAAUGAAUGUAUUGAUUGGAGGCACCAAAUUAGCUGAUAUUCUGCAUAUCGCACGGGACAUUGAAAGCAACCUUUAUUUGCAUCAUAAGCAAUAUUAAUUUUUUUCUUUCAAAUAUACUAUGUUAUAAUCCAAAUUAGAAAUAUUUGUCUGUAUAAGUUAAGUUUUAUUUUUAACAAAUAAAAGGACAAGUGUUAAAAAAGAAUAACUCCAUUUAUCAGCCUUAAAUAUGACAACAUUCAUGUGUUGUUAUAGUUGGUGAAAUAACUUAUGACAAAGUUUAUAACUUAUACUAUUUGAUUGAGUAAAUUGGUUUAAUUACAAGUGACUUUUAUUAGUCUUUAUUGCUACUAUAGUAGAAAUGGCUUAUUUCAACAUGUGUGCUUCUUACCACUUUAAAACAUAAAGGCUGGUGACUCAGAAUUCCGAUAGCAGCUUAACGAAUGAUAAAGAUGAGGAUGAGGAUAAUGGAGAAGAAGACCAUGAUGAUGAUGAUGACGGUGUCGGUAGUGCUGCUGCUGCUGCUGAUGGUGGUGAUAUCAACACGGAAGACGAUAGGGAUAACAAAGAGAAGGCUAAGGAAGCUGAUGAUGGGAACAAAGACCGUAGUAAUUGUAAGAGUGAUCCGCUUAUCGCAGAUCAUGUUAGAGUCCUUUGGAUGGAUGAGUCUGAGUCUACAGAGAGUAGUAAUAAUGUCAUAGUUGUCGAUAGAUGAUUUCUGCAUGGUGAUUAUGUUGCUGCAGCUUCUGAUCCAACAGGUCAAGUAGGACUCGUGGUUGAUAUCAAUAUGUCUGUAGAUUUAUUAGAGCACGAUGGCUCUAUUUUUAAAAAUGUCUCAUCUAGAGAGUUGAAACGUGUUCGGGGUUUUACAGUUGGUGAUUAUGUUGUCCUUGGCCCUUGGUUGGGUAGAAUUGAUGAUGUUUUUGAUAAUGUCACAGUGAUGUUUGAUGAUGGUUCUGUAUGUAAAGUUAUGAAGGCUGACCCUUUACAUCUUAAACCAGUUGGUAGGAAUGGCCUUGAAGAUGGACAUUUUCCUUUCUAUCCUGGUCAGCGUGUAAAAGCUAGCUUCAUCGUCAGUUUUCAAGAAUUCCAGAUGGUUAUCUGGCUCAUCGAAAGCAAAUAGGUGCUUACUACUGAAAAGCAGGAAAAAUGCAGCACUAAUGCUAACAAGAAGCUAACAAAGCGAGGCUGUUAAAGAAGAGUUUGUUCCGGUUAUAAUACUAACAAGAAGCUAACAAAGCGAGGCUGUUAAAGAAGAGCUUGUUCCGGUUUCGGAUACGAGAAUAAGAACGGAAGUACAAGAGGACAAGAAGGAGAAGAGACGAGUACAGUUUCACUUGCUCGGUAACCUCUUUCCCGAUCAGAGAUAGGAAAGAAUCCAAAGCUUGCAAGGAUGUUAGGUAAAUAGUAUGGAUAUAACAUCCAAUGUAAACAAUGAGGCCACAAACAAUUGCUUUUUUAGUAUGGAUAUAACAUCCAAUGUAAACAAUGAGGCCACAAACAAUUGCUUUUUUA
Non-coding RNA from Solanum lycopersicum (tomato), 3686 nucleotides. NCBI's taxonomy places the organism in Eukaryota, Viridiplantae, Streptophyta, Magnoliopsida, Solanales, Solanaceae. The record is from RefSeq and is a predicted model, not a curated record.